ACGUUAGCGGCGGACGGGUGAGUAACACGUAGGUAACCUACCUAUAAGACUGGGAUAACUUCGGGAAACCGGAGCUAAUACCGGAUAAUAUUUCGAACCGCAUGGUUCGAUAGUGAAAGGUGGCUUUGCUAUCACUUAUAGAUGGACCUGCGCCGUAUUAGCUAGUUGGUAAGGUAACGGCUUACCAAGGCAACGAUACGUAGCCGACCUGAGAGGGUGAUCGGCCACACUGGAACUGAGACACGGUCCAG
RNAcentral lists this ribosomal RNA (251 nucleotides) under uncultured Staphylococcus sp. RNAcentral's name for it is "partial 16S ribosomal RNA". It matches the Rfam family "Bacterial small subunit ribosomal RNA", at positions 89 to 334 of the family's 1533-position model. The record is from RNAcentral. Lineage: Bacteria; Bacillati; Bacillota; Bacilli; Caryophanales; Staphylococcaceae.